GCAUAUCAAUAAGCGGAGGAAAAGAAACCAACAGGGAUUGCCCCAGUAACGGCGAGUGAAGCGGCAACAGCUCAAAUUUGAAAUCUGGCCCCCCGGCCCGAGUUGUAAUUUGGAGAGGAUGCUUCUGGCGCGGCGCCGUCCGAGUUCCUUGGAACAGGACGCCACAGAGGGUGAGAGCCCCGUACGGACGGACGCCUAGCCUCUACGAAGCUCCUUCGACGAGUCGAGUAGUUUGGGAAUGCUGCUCAAAAUGGGAGGUAAAUUUCUUCUAAAGCUAAAUACCGGCCAGAGACCGAUAGCGCACAAGUAGAGUGAUCGAAAGAUGAAAAGCACUUUGAAAAGAGGGUUAAAAAGUACGUGAAAUUGUUGAAAGGGAAGCGCCUGUGACCAGACUUGCGCCUCGCGGACCACCCGGCGUUCUCGCCGGUGCACUCUGCGUGGCGCAGGCCAGCAUCGGUUCUCCCAGGGGGACAAAGGCCGCGGGAACGUAGCUCCUUUGGGAGUGUUAUAGCCCGCGGCGGCAUGCCCCUGGGGGGACCGAGGACCGCGCUUCGGCAAGGAUGCUGGCGUAAUGGUCACCAGCGACCCGUCUUGAAACACGGACCAAGGAGUCAAGCAUUGGGGCGAGUGUAUGGGUGCCAAACCCGCACGCGAAAUGAAAGUAAACGCAGGUGAGAGCUUCGGCGCAUCAUCGACCGAUCCUGAUGUCUUCGGAUGGAUUUGAGUAAGAGCCUUACCGCUUGGACCCGAAAGAUGGUGAACUAUGCCUGAAUAGGGUGAAGCCAGAGGAAACUCUGGUGGAGGCUCGCAGCGGUUCUGACGUGCAAAUCGAUCGUCAAAUUUGGGCAUGGGGGCGAAAGACUAAUCGAACCAUCUAGUAGCUGGUUACCGCCGAG
Molecule: ribosomal RNA, 896 nt
Filed under: Sporothrix globosa
Lineage: Eukaryota; Fungi; Ascomycota; Sordariomycetes; Ophiostomatales; Ophiostomataceae
Description: LSU rRNA
Rfam family: Eukaryotic large subunit ribosomal RNA
Source: RNAcentral